AACAAACAACUGAAAAAUAGCGAGAGAGAAACCUUAUAACCUGGGACAGAGAGAAGAAUCAUCUUUAGCACAACCUGUCUGCACCUUCACAGCACCAUAUAAG
This is a long non-coding RNA of Phyllostomus discolor (pale spear-nosed bat), 103 nucleotides long. RefSeq lists it as uncharacterized. The record is from RefSeq and is a predicted model, not a curated record. The transcript has 4 exons. Lineage: Eukaryota; Metazoa; Chordata; Mammalia; Chiroptera; Phyllostomidae.